Molecule: ribosomal RNA, 103 nt
Filed under: uncultured bacterium
Lineage: Bacteria
Description: partial 16S ribosomal RNA
Rfam family: Bacterial small subunit ribosomal RNA
Source: RNAcentral
CUUGUACACACCGCCCGUCACACCAUGGGAGUGGGUUUCACCAGAAGUAGGUAGCCUAACCGCAAGGAGGGCGCUUACCACGGUGAAAUUCAUGACUGGGGUG